UGGUGGUGUCUGUGUCUCCCCUCGUAGUCGAUGACCUCGAUGUAGUCCAGGUAGGCGUCGGCCCAGUACACCAGUUUACUGACCAGGUCCAGUGUGACUCCAUGAGGAAACACGAUCUUACUGUCCACCAGCCUCGAGCGGUUCUGACCGUCCAUAUCACACCGCUCCACCUUCGGGAUCUGUCCAUAAUCCGUAAAGAACAACUUCCUGUACACACACACACACACACACACACACACACACACACACACACACACACUUAUUAAAAAGGGAACAAAGGCGUUGUCAUAACGCCUCAUUAAUUUGACCGCCGUUAGGUUUUAAUUACAGUGGAUAUUAAACUCUGUUCAAAUGACAGGUUUAUUUUGUUGGAAAUCAGUUUAGGAGCAAAAAAAGAAACAAAUUUACAACCUAUUUGCAUAAGUAUACACACCCCUUAACUAAUACUGUGUUAGAGCAGCUUUUGCUUGUUAUUCAGCGCUCGUGUUUUGGGGUAAGAGUUUACCGAAUUCUUCACAUCUUCAUCUGGUCAUUUUAUUCCACUCUUCCUUAUAAAAAUCCUCCAGCUCUAUGAUUUAGCGAGCGGAUCUCCUGUACACCGCCCUCUUCAGGUCAUUCCACAGGUUUCUGAUAGGAAGCCAUUCCUUGUAUGUGUGCUUUGGGUCGUCAUCGUGCUAGAAGGUGAAAUUUUUCAUCAUCUUCAGCUGUGUAACAAGAAUUUGGAGCGAUCCAUGAUUCCCUCUAUCCUGAGUAGAACCCCAGUCCCAGCUGAACAGAAGCAGAACCAAAGCAUGAUGCUGCCACCACCAUGCUUCACCGUGGGUAUGGUGUUCUCUGGAUGGUAAGCUGUCUUGUUCCAAACAUAUCUUUUAGAUUAUGUCCAUAAAGUUGUACCUUGGUCUCAUCAGACCAGAACACAUUUUGCCACAUGGUUUGGGAUGAUUUAACGCUUGGAUGGUUUUUUUUUUUAAUGAGAAAGGGGGAAUGAGUUCCGUCUUUCCCCCCUACCCCAUACACCUGAAGAAAACGUCAUGUAGGGAGUGACCAGUACUCGCCAGAUGUUCCUGCAUCUGCUUUACUGUUGCUGUAGGUCCCUCAGCAGCCUCCCUGAUGAGUUUUCUUCAUGUCCUUGUGUCAGUUUUUUUUGAGGGACAUCCUGUUCUUGGUGAUGUCACUGCGGAGCUCCAUCUUCUCCACUUGUUGAUGAUGGCCUUCACGGUGUUCCAUGGUACAUCUAAUGUUUAGGAACUGUUUCUGCACCCCUCUCCUGAUCGAGAUCUUUCCACAGACAGAUACUGUGUAAGCUCUUUGGCUUCAGCAGUCAGAUGAAAUCGAGAAGAUGUGAAACACCUGAUACAGAAACAGCUGGUCUUUAUUCGGGGUUCAUCAGAACCACUUCAGUGAUGACGGCUGUAUGAUCAUUACUUUAGAACACAAGACUGAAUGUGAUCGCUUCAUUCUGAGAACAGUCACAUGACCCAUUAUACAAGGGUGCGCAUACUUAUGCAACCAGGUUACUGUAAAUUUUUCCUUUUUUUCUCCCUAAAAUAUUUCUAUUUGUUGUUUAUGUAUGUAUGUGUACUACCAGGAUCUGGAUGAUGGUGUGUGUGUGUGUGUGUGUGUGUGUGUGUGUGUACCCCAUCGUAGGGUCCAGUGCGAUUCCUUUGGGGUUGUACAGUUCCUGAUCCAGCAGCGUCACACAUGUCACCCCGUCUUUAUCACACACAAAGAUCCGAUCGUCCACAUCGUCGACGAAAUAAAAAUUCCCCGUCAGCCAGUCGAUCGCCAUCUGCUCCACAUCUGUACAAUGACAUACAUUUCAUCACCACAUCUGUACAACACAUCACAUCUGUACUAUGACACAUCACAUCUGUACCAGAACACAUGACCACAUCUGUACAAUGACACACACAUCUCAUCACCACAUCUGUACAGCAACACAUCACAUCACCACAUCUGCACAAUGACAUCACCACAUCUACACAAUGACAAAUCACCAUAUCUGUACAAUGAUACACAUCACACCACCACAUCUGUACAGUGACAUCACCAUAUCUGUACCACAACAGACAUCACAUAACCACAUCUGCACAAUGACACCUCACUACAUUUGUACAACACACCUCAUCACAUUUGUACAAUGACACACACCUCAUCACAUUUGUACAAUGACA
Molecule: long non-coding RNA, 2174 nt
Organism: Ictalurus punctatus (channel catfish)
Lineage: Eukaryota; Metazoa; Chordata; Actinopteri; Siluriformes; Ictaluridae
Source: Ensembl